GAGGGAAUAGCUCAUCAGUAGAGUGUGUACUUAGCAUGCAUGAGGUCCUGGGUUCAAUCUCCAGUACCCCCA
This 72-nucleotide transfer RNA is filed under the name Camelus ferus (Wild Bactrian camel). It matches the Rfam family "tRNA". From Rfam's summary of the family: Transfer RNA (tRNA) molecules are approximately 80 nucleotides in length. Their secondary structure includes four short double-helical elements and three loops (D, anti-codon, and T loops). The record is from Rfam by way of RNAcentral. Lineage: Eukaryota; Metazoa; Chordata; Mammalia; Artiodactyla; Camelidae.